RNAcentral lists this ribosomal RNA (606 nucleotides) under Triticum aestivum (bread wheat). RNAcentral describes it as "partial small subunit ribosomal RNA". Lineage: Eukaryota; Viridiplantae; Streptophyta; Magnoliopsida; Poales; Poaceae. The record is from RNAcentral.
AUGGACCUUGCAGGAGGAGAGGAAUCCUCGAGGCACAUAAGUUGGCCGUCCCACGGCUACCCCGACGACGGCGGCGAGCGGCCACCCUUCAUCCUCAUCGAGCCCUACGCCUGCUUGGCCAACCGCAUCAACGCCACCACCGCCAGCACCCCAAUCCUCUACGACGCCGAGCUCGAGGGCUGCAGCAUCCAGGUCACCUUCUGCGCCGUCUCUCACCUGUGCGCCCAUGUCGUAGGCUUGGGCGACCCCCUGUUCCGCCACCCGCCUCGCAUCCUCGCCACCGAGACGGACGGCAGCCUCCUCCUGCUAUGCGUCCCCAUCCCCAUCCGCGGCGACCCGUUCCCGCCCUAUGCCUAUGUCCCCAUCACCCGAGAAGAGUACUUCGUCUACAACCCCCGCGUCCCUGCGCUGGAGCACCUUCGGCCCCCGGAACCAGGCAGCAUCCCCUGCUUGAUUGACGGCACGGUUGCCAUCGUGCGCAAGUGCAGCCAACGCCAACGACCCCAUGGAGCCGGCGGCCACAAGCUCGCCCAUGGAGUCGGCUGGUUUGUGCCACGACUACGAUACAAGCAGGAUCUCCAAAUAUCUCAAAGUUGCUCCACGUAA